RNAcentral lists this ribosomal RNA (416 nucleotides) under Blastocystis sp. subtype 3. Its description in RNAcentral is "bacterial SSU rRNA". It matches the Rfam family "Eukaryotic small subunit ribosomal RNA", at positions 532 to 954 of the family's 1831-position model. Lineage: Eukaryota; Bigyra; Opalinata; Blastocystidae. The record is from RNAcentral.
CCUUAUCGAUAAACAAUUGGAGGGCAAGUCUGGUGCCAGCAGCCGCGGUAAUUCCAGCUCCAAUAGCGUAUAUUAACGUUGUUGCAGUUAAAAAGCUCGUAGUUGAAAUGAAGGGUAGUUGUGUAAUGAAUACAUUCGUGUAUUUUGUUAUUCUACUACCCUCCUUCUAAAUUCGAUAUAUGAGUAUUAAUUUACUUGUAUAUGGUUUUAGACCUUUACUGUGAGAAAAUUAGAGUGUUCAAAGCAGGCAUUUGCUUGAAUAUAUUAGCAUGGAAUAAUCAUGUAUGAUUUUCAUGAUGUAUUUGAUUGGUUUGGUUCAUGAGAAUAAGAUUAAAAGGGACAGUUGGGGGUAUUCAUAUUCAAUAGUCAGAGGUGAAAUUCUCGGAUUUAUGGAAGAUGAACAAGUGCGAAAGCAA